ACUUUCCUCUAAGUACCACCAAGAGGGCUCUCACGUACCACUGGUGGUACAUGUACCACAGUUUGAGAAUAUAGGAUGUAGACAUUUUAAUA
Long non-coding RNA from Melanotaenia boesemani (Boeseman's rainbowfish), 92 nucleotides. RefSeq lists it as uncharacterized. Lineage: Eukaryota; Metazoa; Chordata; Actinopteri; Atheriniformes; Melanotaeniidae. The record is from RefSeq and is a predicted model, not a curated record. The transcript is spliced from 3 exons.